RNAcentral lists this long non-coding RNA (589 nucleotides) under Phoenix dactylifera (date palm). RNAcentral describes it as "long non-coding RNA (PDAC_LNC021125)". Lineage: Eukaryota; Viridiplantae; Streptophyta; Magnoliopsida; Arecales; Arecaceae. The record is from RNAcentral.
AUCUUUCUAAGGUAAAUUGGCCCCAUCAAUUUUAACUCUGUUGGCGCAAUAUUGUCUAAUUUCGUCCAUACUUUCUUAUGUGAGUACGUCUGACAGGAACCUGUUAAUUCAUACACUGCAAAGAUGAACUGAAUUAUCAACAACAACUAUUUCUUCAUGCUCUCUUGCGGUAUCAAUUUUAAUUUUUUGUGAUUAUAGAGAAUGUGCUAAUGUAUAAGCCCUUCUUGUUCGAGUCACAGUUCAGUUUGGAGGUUCCUGCAGGUCGAGAACUGCACGAUCUAACAUGAACAGAUCCAUGUGAAUUGUGCCUUCCUUGAUGCCCAUGCAGACAUGAUUCCCCUAGCCUUGGGGUCGAAUCAAUGGUACCUUAUGGCAUGCAUUGUGAGGUAGUUAAUUUGCAUGAAUCUGCAACCUAAACCAUGAUCUGUUAGUUGUCCCGGUGACAAGCUGAUGGUGCCUCUAGUUACUCCUUGCGGAGACCAACAUACAACUAGCAAAUGGGACACACGUCCUAGGGGAGAUGCACCGCCAGACUCUGUAUUUUUAUAGUAGAUUUCGAGGAGAUGCACCGCCAGAGUCUGUAUUUUUA